This 270-nucleotide ribosomal RNA is filed under the name uncultured archaeon. Its description in RNAcentral is "partial 16S ribosomal RNA". It matches the Rfam family "Archaeal small subunit ribosomal RNA", at positions 477 to 747 of the family's 1478-position model. The record is from RNAcentral.
CAGCACCUCAAGUGGUCAGGAUGAUUAUUGGGCCUAAAGCAUCCGUAGCCGGCGCUGUAAGUUUUCGGUUAAAUCUGUACGCUCAACGUACAGGCUGCCGGGAAUACUGCAGAGCUAGGGAGUGGGAGAGGUAGACGGUACUCGGUAGGAAGGGGUAAAAUCCUUUGAUCUAUUGAUGACCACCUGUGGCGAAGGUGGUCUACCAGAACACGUCCGACGGUGAGGGAUGAAAGCUGGGGGAGCAAACCGGAUUAGAGACCCGAGUAGUCC